Molecule: long non-coding RNA, 1904 nt
Filed under: Ananas comosus (pineapple)
Lineage: Eukaryota; Viridiplantae; Streptophyta; Magnoliopsida; Poales; Bromeliaceae
Description: long non-coding RNA (ACOM_LNC019097)
Source: RNAcentral
UUAGUAUUUAAUUUAUAAAAAAAAAAAAAUUAAGUUACGGUUAUUUGGUUGAAAAAAAAUAGGAAAAACUUCAAAAACCACCUAUGUGGUUUCACACUUUUUCAUUUUAGUACCCUGUGGUUUAAAGUAUAUCAAGUUAGUACCCUGUGGUUUCUCACUUUAUCACUUUAGUACCAUGUGGUUUAAAGUGUAUCAAAUUAGUACCCGGUGGUUUUGUACUUUAUCACUUUAGUACCCUGUCGUUUCACACUUUAUCACUUUAGUACCCUAUAGUUUAAAAAACCACAGGGUACUAAUUUGAUACAAAAUCAAAAUCACAGAGUACUAAAGUGAUAAAAUGCAAAACCACAGGGUACUAACUUGAUACACUUUAAACCACAGGGUACUAAAGUGAUAAAGUGAGAAACCACAAGGUACUAACUUGAUACAUUUUAAACCACAGGGUACUAAAGUGAAAAAAAUUAAAACCACAAGGGGGUUUUUUGAAGUUUUCCCAAAAAAAUAUAUAUAUUUAUUCUUAUUAUAUGUAUUUUAUAUUAGAAAAAACUUUAAAAAACUCCCUGUAUUUUCAUAUUUUUUCAUUUUAAUGCCCUGUCGUUUAAAGUGUAUCAAGUUAGUAUCCUGCGAUUUCGCACUUUCUCACUUUAUUACUCUGUGGUUUAAAGUGAAUCAAGUCAGUACUCUGUGAUUUUUUUUUUUUAUCAAGUUAGUACUCUAUGAUUUUAUUUUUGUAUCAAGUUAGUAUCUUGUGAUUUUUAAACCACAGGGCACUAACUUGAUACACUUUAAACCAUAGGUUACUAAAGUAAAAAAGUGGAAAACCACAAGGUACUAACUUGAUACACUUUAAACCAUAAGGUACUAAAGUGAGAAAAAGUGAAACCACAAUGAGGUAUUUGAAAAUUUUCCUUUAUAUUAUUGAUAUAUAAUUAUUAUCAUAUUACAUAUAUUAGUGUUAUUGUUUAUAUUAAUAGAUAAAAUAUUAUAUAAUAUAUAUAUUGAGUUUGAUCGUGCUACUAUCGGUAGUUUACUACUGAUUUAUUUUUAAUAAUAGAGUUUUCAAAUCGAUGAUCGACACCGUUGAACAUGAUUUAGACUAUUUAAAUUAUCUAGAAAUCAAAUUUCAUGAUUUUUUGGCAUCACUAACUGAACGAUUAAAGGAUCACAAAAUCUGUAAUUUUAAUCGCUGAUAUGGUUCGUUUGCUCGUUUAAUUGCAUAAAAAAGUUCAAAUCAACUAAACUUUUGUUCGAAAAUUGUUUAAACUAUUUAAAACAAGAUCUAUACUCUACACCUUAAAUACAGAAAUUGUAUCAUCACUUUUUAAAAGAUAUUUAUUUUUAGCCAUUCAUUUUUCUGUUCACUCGAUGUACAAAAAAAUAAUAUAAAAAAUGCGUGAAAUUUCAUUUUCAUAUAGUUUAAAUGGUUUGGAUCAUGUUUAACAGUGUCGAUCAUCAAUUUGAAAGAUUUAUCAUCGAAAAUAAAUCGAUAGUAAAAAACUCUAAAUAUAUAUUAUAUAUAUAUAUAGUAGGGCUACUGUGCUAUUAGGAGCACAGCAGCCCUUGUGCUCCUAACUUUCUAAACACCCAUCAAGUUGGAUGGGUGAUUAGAAUAAGAGAGGGAGGAUAUAUAUAUAUAUAUAUAUAUAUAUAUAUAGAGAGAGAGAGAGAGAGAGAGAGAGAGAGAUUGUUGCUACCAGUUUUUUAGCCUUUGGAUCAACUAUUUUCAUUAUUUCUAACCAUUGGAUUAAAUAUUAUAACCCAGUAGGGACCACUCAACCCUAGAGAGACCACUCAAUUCUAACCGACUAAUAUCAUCCCGACUCUACAAUUUGUUGUCUAAGGGUUAAAAACUUGAUAGUAAAAAGAGCGUUUUACUAUUAAUAGUAUUCCAGCCUAAUUCUCUA